Aegilops tauschii subsp. strangulata is the source of this 323-nucleotide non-coding RNA. The record is from RefSeq and is a predicted model, not a curated record. NCBI's taxonomy places the organism in Eukaryota, Viridiplantae, Streptophyta, Magnoliopsida, Poales, Poaceae.
UCACUGUCCCUCUUUCAGGAGCAGCAAACUGCCUACAUGGAGUACACACGCCAGGAGACCAUGGCGUGGCACGACCGCCUUCAUGCAUACCAUCAGCAGAGGGAUCGCGAGAUGCAGCACGCUUUUCAGGAAAUGGCGGCCGGCAGGUGUCCUCAAUGGCCAUCAGCAGAGGGUCCUCCAGCACAACCAGUGCUGCUGACCUUUGAGGAGUUUGUGGCACAGAACGCUGGCCCCUCGCCGGGAACAGGUGCAUCUACCGUUGGCGGUGGUCUUCGCAACACUCCCGAGACACGGAGCCCGACCACUCCGAUCCACGGAGACGG